CACCGCGGUUAUACGAGAGGCCCAAGUUGAUAGCCUAACGGCGUAAAGCGUGGUUAAGAAAUACUAUUUAACUAGGGUUAAACAUCCCCAAAGCUGUUAUACGCACAAAAGGAUAUGAAACCCCCCUACAAAAGUGACCCUAAAACCCCUGACCCCACGAAAACUGCAAAA
This 171-nucleotide ribosomal RNA is filed under the name Grammicolepis brachiusculus. RNAcentral's name for it is "partial 12S rRNA". The record is from RNAcentral. Lineage: Eukaryota; Metazoa; Chordata; Actinopteri; Zeiformes; Grammicolepididae.